RNAcentral lists this ribosomal RNA (510 nucleotides) under uncultured bacterium. RNAcentral's name for it is "partial 16S ribosomal RNA". It matches the Rfam family "Bacterial small subunit ribosomal RNA", at positions 28 to 507 of the family's 1533-position model. The record is from RNAcentral.
GACGAACGCUGGCGGCGUGCUUAACACAUGCGAGUCGAACGAAGAGCGACGGAAGCUUGCUUCUAUCAAUCUUAGUGGCGAACGGGUGAGUAACGCGUAAUCAACCUGCCCUUCAGAGGGGGACAACAGUUGGAAACGACUGCUAAUACCGCAUACGAUCUAAUCUCGGCAUCGAGGAUAGAUGAAAGGUGGCCUCUACAUGUAAGCUAUCACUGAAGGAGGGGAUUGCGUCUGAUUAGCUAGUUGGAGGGGUAACGGCCCACCAAGGCGAUGAUCAGUAGCCGGUCUGAGAGGAUGAACGGCCACAUUGGGACUGAGACACGGCCCAGACUCCUACGGGAGGCAGCAGUGGGGAAUCUUCCGCAAUGGACGAAAGUCUGACGGAGCAACGCCGCGUGAGUGAUGACGGCCUUCGGGUUGUAAAGCUCUGUUAAUCGGGACGAAAGGCCUCCUUGCGAAUAGUGAGAAGGAUUGACGGUACCGGAAUAGAAAGCCACGGCUAACUACGUG